AUUGAACGCUGGCGGCAUGCCUUACACAUGCAAGUCGAACGGCAGCACGGGUGCUUGCACCUGGUGGCGAGUGGCGAACGGGUGAGUAAUACAUCGGAACGUACCUUAUCGUGGGGGAUAACGCAGCGAAAGCUGUGCUAAUACCGCAUACGCCCUGAGGGGGAAAGCGGGGGAUCGCAAGACCUCGCGCGAUUAGAGCGGCCGAUGCCUGAUUAGCUUGUUGGUGGGGUAAAAGCCCACCAAGGCGACGAUCAGUAGCUGGUCUGAGAGGACGAUCCGCCACACUGGGACUGAGACACGGCCCAGACUCCUACGGGAGGCAGCAGUGGGGAAGUUUGGACACUGGGGGCAACCCUGAUCCAGCAAUGCCGCGUGAGUGAAGACGGCCUUCGAGUUGUAAAGCUCUUUUGUCAGGGAAGAAACACCGGCUCUAACACAGUCCGGGAAUGACGGUACCUGAAGAAUAAGCACCGGCUAACUACGUGCCAGCCGCCGCGGUAA
This 501-nucleotide ribosomal RNA is filed under the name uncultured bacterium. RNAcentral describes it as "partial 16S ribosomal RNA". It matches the Rfam family "Bacterial small subunit ribosomal RNA", at positions 29 to 523 of the family's 1533-position model. The record is from RNAcentral.